RNAcentral lists this ribosomal RNA (660 nucleotides) under uncultured bacterium. Its description in RNAcentral is "bacterial SSU rRNA". It matches the Rfam family "Bacterial small subunit ribosomal RNA", at positions 94 to 788 of the family's 1533-position model. The record is from RNAcentral.
AGUGGCGGACGGGUGAGUAACGCGUGAGAAUCUGCCUUGGGGUCGGGGACAACCACUGGAAACGGUGGCUAAUACCGGAUAAGCCGAUUGGUGAAAGAUUUAUUGCCCGAAGAGGAGCUCGCGUCUGAUUAGCUAGUUGGUGAGGUAAGAGCUCACCAAGGCAGCGAUCAGUAGCUGGUCUGAGAGGACGAUCAGCCACACUGGGACUGAGACACGGCCCAGACUCCUACGGGAGGCAGCAGUGGGGAAUUUUCCGCAAUGGGCGAAAGCCUGACGGAGCAAGACCGCGUGAGGGAGGAAGGCUCUUGGGUUGUAAACCUCUUUUCUCAGGGAAGAAGCUCUGACGGUACCUGAGGAAUCAGCCUCGGCUAACUCCGUGCCAGCAGCCGCUGUAAUACGGAGGAGGCAAGCGUUAUCCGGAAUUAUUGGGCGUAAAGCGUCCGCAGGUGGCGAUUCAAGUCUGCUGUCAAAGCACGGGGCUUAACUCCGUAAAGGCAGUGGAAACUGAAUAGCUAGAGUGCCGUAGGGGUAGAGGGAAUUCCCGGUGUAGCGGUGAAAUGCGUAGAGAUCGGGAAGAACAUCGGUGGCGAAAGCGCUCUACUGGACGGCAACUGACACUCAGGGACGAAAGCUAGGGGAGCGAAUGGGAUUAGAUACCCC